CUCGCCCUCGUCUCCGAAUCACAGCCGCAAAAGUAGGCUGCAACUAAUCACCGCUAGUAACUGGUACUAGGACCUACAUCACGAAAUAGAUGCAGAGCGUAGCAUGAGUACAAACACAACAGGUACUCAGUAGGCAUCAUAGGCCGACUGAGCAAAAAGGGGUAAAAACAAUAAGAAAUGAUAGAAUCUAGACACAGAGAGGUCAAAGUGGAUAUGAAAAGAAAGCACACGAGCAUACCAGAAACAAACUAAGUACACUAAACUAAAACCUGAACGGACCCCCAUAAGCUCGAUAGGUACACAGAAAAGUUAAGUCUACUGAGAAAGAAGAAAAUCAGGCUCCCAGCCCAAAGUAACUAAGAUAAUCCAUGAAACUCCAUCCCGUCAGUAGUGCACUCCCAGCCCUACUAGAAAGAGUGACCCUAGGGGGAAUCCAACCAAACAGUGCACUCCCAGCCCAGCUAGAAAGAGUGACCCGUGAGUGAGGUAGAUAUCGCGAGUCAUCCUACCAUGCAGUCUGCUCCCAUCCCAGCUAGAAAGAGCGACCCGGGGACACACAGCCAACAAUAUACUCCCAUCCCAGCUAGAAAGAGAGGCCCGGGGGCGAUCGCCUAUAUCACCGAGUCUACCCAGCCAGCGAUACGUUCCCAGCCCAGCUAAAUAGAACGACCCCGGGGGUAAGGGUAUCUCCAAUAGGAUCUAAUCCAACAACAACCACCGUGGAACGCCGUCCACUCUGAGAAAUCACAGAAAAGGCUCCAAGCCUAUACUAUCUCAAUCCCACGCCUCUAAUGAUGCACCAAACCUUCUAGAAUGCGUCGAAACCGCAGAAUGAGAAAGAGAGGAUACAGAAAUGUAGCAAGCUGCGAUAACGCCUAAUCUAAGGCUCAAACUAUCAGACUCAAGUCUGCUAUUCUAGCCUACAAGGAGUUAGGUCAUCCGAACGACAUCGGCAGAAAGUCAAGGCUAUCCAGCCCACACGGGUCUUAAGUCUAAGGCAAUGCUAGCCUAACCUAGACUAAGGACAUCAUGCUUACGGUUAAGGAUGAACAAGGCAUACAAUACAUAGCAUACGUGCAUACAAUAGCAUUUAGCACAUAAGCAUGCAACUCUACUAAACCGGUUAACAUGAUACUAUACCCGAAAUAUGGCCAAUCGAUCCUAACAUGAAGUAUCUAAUCAAAGUAAGGUAGUAAACUGGUACCCACCCCAAAUUCACUCCAAUCGACAUGUUUUUACCGAAUUAAGCUCAAUCUAAAAGAAAGAAAGUCGUAGCCUACCUUAAGGCCGAUCGUGCGCUCUCCAAAUCACUUUACAGGAGCUUUCCCUAUCCGAUCGAACUCGAAACACUGCCCCGCUAUAAAAAAUAGAUUCACAACGUUAUUACGAUUGUUUAGACACCAAAUUCACAACAAACGGAGACGGGUCAAUUUUGGAGUCAAAACUAGAAUCGUGGGACCCGCACCGAACUGCCUGAAUUUGACUCCGUCAAGAGACCCUAAACGGCACCCUAAACUUGUGUUCCAAAAUGGAACAGAAUUCGAGGCUCAAAACAUAGCAAAAACAAACAAGCAAGAAACUACACUUUAAUCAACUAAAAGAAAACCUACAGCAGCAGACUAAACUCGGAAUAAAUGAGAAUCGAAAGCUGCCCAGCACUCUUUGAAUACUCUACGAAGAAUUCUCGACAAUUCUCAACACGUGGGACUUCGAAUCACCCAAAAUCAAGCAGAAAUGAAAGAGAUAUGACCAAAAGAAGAAUGCCAAAAACAAAGGCUCGAAAAAGGAACUGCAGUCAGCUUAAUCGAGAAAUUACCUCGAACUACGUGCACCCAACAACUUCCAGGCACUCUACAGCGAAGACACCGAAAAUAUGAAGCUUCCGCACUUCGAAUCACCUAAUUCGGAUAAAAGAUGAGAAAGUUAUGAGAGUUUGGAGGUUUGAAAAAUGUCAUCAAUGAAGACUAUGACGAAAGAAUCAAGAUAAGGCCUGAACAUGCGUGUCAUCAAGUCCAUAAAGGUAGCAUGGGCAUUAGUCAACCCAAAUGACAUCACCGAGAACUCAUACUGGCCAUAACGGGUCCUAAAUGCAGUCUUAUGGAUGUCCGCUGCCCUAAUCCUCAACUGGUGGUAACCGGACCUCAAAUCAAUCUUAGAGAACACUGGAGCUCCCUGUAGCUGGUCAAAUAGGUCAUCAAUCCUAGGUAGAGGAUAUCGAUUCUUUACUGUCACCUUAUUCAACUGCUUAUAGUCAAUGCACAUGCGCAUCGUACCAUCCUUCUUCUUAACAAAAAGAAUAAGAGCGCCCCAAGGUGAUAGACUACGUCUGAUAAAUCCCUUACCCAAGAGAUCCUGAAGCUUAACACUGAGUUCGUUGAGCUCUGCAGGAGCCACCCGAUAUGGAGGAUUAGAAAUAGGCCGAGUACCUGGCUCAAGCUCAAUCGGAAAAUCAAUACCACAUUCUGGGGGUACGCCAGGUCGGUCAGUAGGAAACACAUCUAAGAAGUCACGAACAACAAGAACUUACUCAACCGGAGGAACCUCCCUACUCACAUCACGCACGCACAUAGGCCAAAUAUGAUAAGUAUCCACAAGCCACUAGCCUCCUAGCCCGAAUAAAAGAGAUAACCCCAAUUUGUGUGCUACCACGAGAUCCCUGCCACACCACCGGAGGAAUACCUAGAAUGGCUAAGGUAACGGUCUUAGAAAAGCAAUCUAAAACAAGACGGUAAGGGGAUUACCGUUCAAUGCCUAGAAUCACAUCGAAAUCAACCAUGUCAAGCAAUAUAAGGUCAGCCCGGGUGUCACGCCCCUGGAUAGUAACUAAGCAAGAUCGAAAUACCUGAUCCACUACUAAAGACUAACCCACGGGGGUCGACACACGCAACGGCGCUACCAGAGGCUCAGACAUCAUACUCAAUCGAGAGGCAUGUAAACAGAAACAUAUGAAAAAGUAGAGCCCGGAUCAAAUAAAGCCAAGGCGGGCUGCUGGCAUAAAAGAAUCGUUCCAGUGAGCACAUCGUCUGAUGCCUCAGCCUCCACACUCGCUGGAGCUGCAUAGAAAUGGCUAUGUCUGCCUCUGCCCUGACCAUCAAACCUACCACCUGACCUACCUCCUCGAAGACCACCCUGUAUACCAUGAUGACCACCUCUCUGGUCCUGACCCUGACCACGACCUCUAGCUGGAGGUGCUGGAAAAGCUGGGGGAGCUACGUGAGGAACGGGAGCAAUCCGACCAUUCUCCUCGGGGACCACCCCAUAUACUCUGCUGGCCACCUCUACGGUCCUGACCCUGACCACGGCCUCUGGCUGGAGGUGCUCGUAAAGCUCGGGGAGAUGCAUGAGGAGCGGGAGCAAUCCGACUAUGCUGAGGGUAGUCCCUGUCCCAAUGACCCAUCUCACCACACUCAUAGCAACCAUGUCGAGGGAGACUCCCAGAAGAACAACUACCAUGGCCUGAAGAACCCGACUGAAACACCUCGCGGCCCUAACUCGAACUAGCCUCACUCCGACCACCAUUUAGUGCCUGAAGAGAGGCUUGUGUAGGUCUGCUAGACUAACCCUAUCGAAAUCGUUGUCCGGCCCUGUCAUGAUAAUCUCUAGACCUGGGGCGGGAGUCACUGUAGCUGCCCUCAUGCCUAGCCCUCUCUCGCUGCCCCCUUGGGCCUCGCGACGAAGAUGCUUCAUAGUACUGGCAUGGUCAACUAUGUCUAAAAAAGAUUGACCCACAGAAACUAAGGAUUGGGUCUCAAGCCGAAGCUGCAAUCUCAACCCACGAACAAAGCACCUAACUAGCUCCACCUCUGUAGGUAAUAUCAUCUCGGCAUGACGAGAGAGUUCGUGGAACCUAGGGUCGUACUCUGCCACCAACAUGGAGCCCUGCUCCAACCUGCAGAACUGAUCCCUGAGGCGGUCUCUGACGCUACGAGGGAUAAACAUGGCCACGAAGGCCUCAGAAAACUCAUCACAUGAUACUGGUGGAGAUCCAACUAGCCUGCUCUAAAUGAAUGUGUGCCACUACUGCCUGGCUGGCCCAUCUAGCUGGUAAGCAAUGAAGUCAACCACUAUAGACUCCACAAGGCCCAAAGUGUGAAGCCUCUCAAGGCAAGUAGUAAGAAACUCAUAGGCAUCAUCACCCACAGCCCCAGAAAACCUCGGUGGUGUCAACCUGAGAAACACACCAAGCAUCUUCUGGUCCUUAAGCGGCAUAGUUCUGUCAGCUGCCAAGGGUUGUACUCCCUCAGGUGGUACCUGAACCUGAGGUGCCCUCACUGUAGGAUGAUCCUGCGGUACUAGUGUUGGUGUAACUGGGGCGGGUGGCUGCUGCAUCCCCCCAAGCACACCUAAGAGUUGUGCAAUAGCGAUCUGGAGAUCUGGAGUCAAAACCAGUCCGGGUGGCGGCUGGGCUGGCCCCAGCCCCACCGGCUGAUCUGGUAUACGAAGUACUGAAAGGUCAGUUACUGGCUGUGGAUCCUCCUCUCUCUCCUUGACUAAUAAUGUGACCCUCUCUCUAUCUCGGGGUUGGUGUCUACCCCAAGCUGGGGCUCUGUCUGCAGGCCUGGGUGCAUCACCCCCAGCCACGUCACCUCGCGAGCGAGCCAUCCUGCGAAAGAGUGAAACAAGUGAGACCUUAAGGAACCAAUAAGACACAUGCGGCACGAAAGUGAAACAAAAAAGGAAAUCUUUCUAAGGACAUCCUGUAGCCUCCCCGAAGAUAAGUUACGGACGUCUCCGCACCGAUCUGCAGGACUAUACUAGACGUUAGCUCUGUACAAGUGAGACCGGUGAACCUGAGGCUCUGAUACCAACUUGUCAUGACCCGAUUUCUCGAGUCAUGAUGGCACCUAAUAUACCCUACCAGUAGGUAAGCCAACCCGUAACCCAGAACAUCAAGCAACGAGCAAAGGGGCAGAAACUAGCGAAAACAACAAUCUAAAGAAGAAUAACAAAGCGGAAGCAACUUAAAAUAAAUAUAUACAGAAAUCCCUCCUAGAACCUGGAAGUCACUAGUACAGAGCUAUCUUAUAGAGAGUACAAGUUCCAAAAGUGGACCACAACAGAGCGUGUCUCCAAGGCAACAAAACUAGCUAAGAACAAAAGAAGGAGUCAGAACAAACCCAAAAUGCCAAGUGCUCGCCCUCCUCUCCGAAUCACAGCUGCGAAAGAAGGUUGGAACUAAUCACCGCUGGUAACUGGUACUGGGACCGUCAUCACGAAAUCGAUGCAGAGCGUAGCAUGAGUACCAACACAAUAGGUACUCAGUGGGCAUCAUAGGCCGACUGAGCAAAAAGGGGUAAAAACAAUAAGAAAUGAUAGAAUCUAGACAUUGGGAGGUCAAAGUGGAUAUGAAAAGAAAGCACACAAGCAUACCAGAAACAAACUAAGUACACUAAAGUAAAACUUGAACGGACCCCCAUAAGCCCGACAUGUACAAAGAAAAGCUAAGUCUACUGAGAAAGAAGAAAAUUGGGCUCCUAGCCCAAAGUAACUAAGAUAUUCCAUCAGACUCCAUUCAGCCAGCAGUGCACUCCCAGCCCAGCUAGAAAGAGUGACCCGUGAGUGAGGUAGAUAUCGCGAUUCAUCCUACCAUGCAGUCAGCUCGCAGCCCAGCUAGAAAGAGCGACCCGGGGAAACCCAGCCAACAGCACAUUCCCAGCCCAGCUAGAAAGAGAGGCUCGGGGUUGAUCGCCGAGAUCACCGAGUGUACCCAGCCAGCGAUACGUUCCCAUCCUAGCUAGAAAGAACGACCCCGGGGGUAAGGGUAUCUCCAAUAGGAUCCAAUCCAACACCAACCACCGUGGAACGCCGUCCACUCUAAGAAAUCACACAAAAGGCUCCAAGCCUAUACUAUCUCAAUCCCACGCCUCUAGUGAUGCACCAAACCUUCGAGAAUGUGUCGAAACCGCAGAAUGAGAGGGAGAAGAUAUAGAAGUGCAGCAAGCAGUGAUAACGCCUAAUCUAAGGCUCAAACUAGAAGACUCAAGUCUGCUAUUCCAGUCUACAAGGAGCUAAGUCAUCCGAACGACGUCGGCAGAAAGUCAAGGCUAUCCAGCCCACACGGGUCAUAAGUCUAUGGCAAUGCUAGCCUAAUCUAGACUAAGGACAUCAUGCUUACGGUUAAGGAUGAACAAGGCAUACAAUACAUAGCAUACAUGCUUACAAUAGCAUUUAGCACAUAAGCAUGCAACUCUACUAAACCGGUUAACAUGAUACUAUACCCAAAUAUGGCCAAUCGAUCCUAACAUGUGGUAUCUAAUCAAAGUAAGGUAGUAAACUGGUACCCACCCCCAAUUCACUCCAAUCGACAUGUUUUGACACAAUUAAGCUCAAUCUAAAAGAAAGGAAGUCGUAGCCUACCUUAAGGCCGAUCACGCGCUCUCCAAAUCACUUUACAGGAACUUUCCCUAUCCGAACGACCUCGAAAUGUUGCCUUGCUAUCAAAAAUAGAGUCACAACGCUAUUAUGGUCGUUUAGACACCAAAAUUACAACAAACGGAUACGGGUCAAUUUUGGAGUCAAAACGAGAAUUGUGGGACUCGCAUCGAACUGCCCAAACGGCAUCCCAAACUUAUGUUCCAAAAUGGAACACAAUUCGAGGCUCAAAACAUAGAAAAAACCAACAAGCAAGAAACCACACUUUAAUCAACUAAAAGAAAAUCUACAGCAGCAGUCUAAACUCAGAAUAAACGAGAAUCGAAAGGUGCCCAGCACUCUUUGAACACUCUACGACGAAGUCUCGACAAUUCUCAACACGUGGGACUUCGAAUUACCCAAAACCGAGCUAAAAUGAAAGAGAUAUGACUAAAACAAGAAUGCCUAAAACAAAGGCUCGAAAAAGGAACUGCAGUCGGGUUAAUCGAGAAAUUACCUCGAACUACGUUCACCCAACAACUUCCGAGCACUCUACAGCGAAGCCAACAAAAAUACGAAGCUUCCGCACUUCGAAUCGCCUAAUUCGGAUAAAAGAUGAGAAAGUUAUGAGAGUUUGAAGGUUUGGAAAAUGUUGUUGAUUUUCUGCAUUUAUAGCAGAUUUUCUGCAAUAUUUCCAAAACAUAAAAACUCCGACGGAGUGCUCCGAACUCGUUCAGAAUCCCGUGCACGCAAACGAUAUAUGCAACCAUACCAAAUUUGAUAUUCCGGACUCAACGACGCAAUUAAAAUUUCCAUCAAUGGUCAUCUCGAUAAAAAAUAGGUCCCACAUCCAAAAGUCAUUUUAAGUCAAAAACCACAAAAGGGCUCGGAAAGAUAUCGAAAAUCUCGAAAUACAAAAGAAGGGUCAAUCUAGACCAAACUCGACAUUCCGGAGCUAACCGCGCUGACGGAAUUCUCAUCCAAGCACGUUUGCUCAGAAUGCUGACCAAAGUCAAACUUAGGCUUAAACUUAAAGUUAAAAUGCCUAAUCGCACCGACUCACACUGAAAACCUCGGGAAUCAUGUCGACCAUGCCACUAGCCUAAAAUGACCCUUACGGAGCUGAUGGAAUCGUCAGAAUUGGAUUUUGAUGUCAUCUUCUUGAACUUUUGAUCGAAAAUGAUUGUUCAAGGUUCAUAAGCUCCAAAACACAAAAACUCUUACCAAGACCAAACGAACGACCAGGUGACCGAACUGUCAGUCCCAGCAAGUCAUAAAUGACUUGGGAUCGCUACAGGAACGCUCUGUUAUAAUAAUUUUCUAUUAUUAUUUUUGCAAGUAUAUAUAUUUUCAUAUUGUCCUUUUUAUUACAACUUUCUUAUUUUUAUAGGUUAUAGCUAGUUGUGUACUUUCUAGAUUAUAUAGUUUCAUUUCUUCUAACCAUUUUAUUCCUUGUGUAAUAUUCUUAUUUCCUUGGUAGAAUUUGAAUUUUAUUAACAUUAAUAUUCCUCCAAUAAUUAUUUCUUUUUCUGUUGUUUCUUCAGAAUUUAAUAAUAAUUUUGGUAAGUCUGGACAUGUUUGUUCUUUAGAGUUUAUUUCUUCUUCUGUUACUAAUUCUCUUGUUAUAUAAUUUUAUUCUUGUCCGGUGUUUAUUAGUAUAAUGUACUUUCUUUGUUCCAUUUUUCCAGUUUUAUAGUAAUGGUAUGGCUCUAUUUCUUUUGUUAUUUGGUAUUCUACUGAUUUUCUUGAUAACUGGGGUGUUUUGUUACUAUAGUUUAUUCCUUUUAUUCUUUUUGAUGUACUUAUUCUGUCACUUACUAUUUCUAAAUCUUCUUCUAUAUCUAUUUCUUUGUAACUAUAAUCAUUAUUAUCUAUUACUGUAACAAUUUGUUCAAAAGGGUUUUCUAUUUUUAUCCUAUUUAUCUUAUGUUUUGCUGUUAUUUUAUGUUUUGUAGUUAGUACAUAUAGGUUUUUACAUCUGGCCGUAAAUAUUUAACUUCCUGGGCUAAUUCUAUGCUGACAUUUUCUAAUACAAUACUAGAGAUUUAUCUAUAUUUUUAUCAUUUAUUGCUACUGAAUAAUUGGCACUUAUUAUAAAUUUGAAUUUUUUGAUAUAUUAGAUUUCCUUUUACUACACUUAUUAUACUUUUUUCUAUAGGUUCUACUAUCCUAUCGUCUACUAGAUAUAUUUCUAUGGGUGUAUCUAUACCUUCUCUAAAACAUGUUUUUAUCAAUAUUUAUGCUCCUCCUAGGUGUACAUAUUUUAUUGGGUCUUUAGCUUUAAUUUCUUGUUUUUCUUUAUUUAUUAUUCUUUUAUUUAUUAUUGGUAUUUUUGCUUUUGCUUUUGUAUAUUUACAGUGUAUUAUGUGUUCCUUUUGGCUUACCACGUAAUUUUCUUCUUUUUGUCUUUUAAAUAAAUUUUUUAUUACUAGUACCUUAAAUAUUUUUUCUACGCUUAAGUCUAAUUCUUUCCCUUUUAUUUGUUCAAAUAUGUUAAUAUCAAAUAUAACUUUUUGUUCCGUAGAUUAUUCAUUUAAGUGUUCUUCGUGACUUAUUAUAUGUAUGUCUUUUUCAGUCAUCUAAAUUAGAUAAAUUAUCUACUUCUUCUUCGUUUAGUUCAUUUUCAGAUAACUCAUAUAUACUAUCAUCACUUUCUGGUUCAUAAUCUAUAUAUUCUAUUUGUAUAUAUUCUUCAUUAUCUAUUAUUACUUUAGAUAUUUGUAUUUUCUUGGGAUUUUUAGGUAAUUUACAAUCUUUAGCUAUAUGUCCUAAUUUUCCAUAAUUAUAACAUGUGCAUUCAAUUAGUUUUUUCUUUGGUUUAUAUGGUCUUUUAUUUUUAUAAUUCCUUAUGUAAUAAUCGUCGAGGUCUUUUAUACUUAUAUUGAGAUUUAUAUUUUUUAUAUUUACUUUGUUUUCUAUAUUUCUUUCUAUAAUAAUAAUCAUCGGUACAUCCAAAUUGAAGUGCCACCUUAUCUUUACAACAUGAUAAAUUUUUCAUUAUGGUUUUUUCUAUUUUAAUUUCUUCUUUAUAUCUUUCACAUAUUUCUGAAUACCAUUUUUGUAAGAAUCAUAUUCUUGCUCCUAAAGUAUCUUGUAGUCCUGCUUCAUUCCAAUCUUUUAUUAUUUUUGAACUAAAUGGUUCUGAUAGUUUUGUGAAGUAUAAUCUUCUUAUUUCUUUUCCUUCCUCUGUACUAUAUGUUCCUUUGUAUUAAUAUUCUCAAAAUACACAUAUAUAUGUUUCUAUAUAACACAUGUUACGUAUUGCUAAUUUUAACAUUAAAUUCAUGUUUAAUUGUUUUUCUUUAUUUUGUUCUUAUGUUUCUGUGGUUGUACUUUUAAAUUCAUUUCUUAUGGCUAUUUCAUAUUUAUUUAAUAUGUCAAUUGGCGUUGUUGCUAUUUCUCCAUCUAUUCUCUUAUUAUUUUUUAAUGUUUUUAUGCUUUCUUCUGUUAGGUUUUGUAACCAUAGUUUUACUGUUCCUAGUAGUGUCCUUUCUAAAUAUCCUGGUACUUCUAACAUUCCUAUUUUAUUAUCUAUUAUUUGUUUUGAUAUAUAUCAUUUCCAUAAUUGAAUUGUUUUGUAUAUAUCUGUUACACAAUCUAGAUCUAAGAAAUUAUUUUGUGUAGUUGUUGGGAUUGAUGUCCAUUUUUUGUUUAACUUUUUAUUCCAUAUACUAUUGUCUCUAUCAGAUUGUUCAUAGCUCGCUGUAUAAUAUACUGGAAUUAACUUUUUUGGAUUUUUGACUUCCGAUGUACUUGCUUUUGUAUAUUCAUUUAUAUCUCCUAUAUUUAUUUCUGUAAAUUUUUCAUUUUCUUCAAUAUUUGCUAAAAUUUCUGUAUAUGUUUCGCUUAUGUCUGAAUCUUGUUGUAAGUGAUAUUCAUUUAUAUCAUCAACACUUAAUUCUUGUUCUUCGAUUUGAAAUUUUUUUUUUUAAAUUUCUAUUUCAUUUUUUAAUUUUGUCUCAAUUACUCUUUCCUUCUGUUUAAUUGUAUAUAAUUCUUGUAAUGUAGCUAAUUCUUUUUCUAAAGUAAUUAUUUUAACAUUUUUUGUUUCUUUUAUUUGUUGUAUUUCCAGUUGUGCUUGUCGUUUAAUAAUUUCUACCUCCUUUUUUCUAUCUAUAUCUUCGUUUUCUUUUGCUAUUCGUACCGUGACUGUUAAACUAUCUUCUAAUCUUAAUGCUUCUUUUUCUAGCAUUAGACUUAAAUUUUCACCUAUUUUUUUAUAUCUUCUUCCUAAGUUUGAAAAUAUUAUCUUUAUUUUUAAUCCGUCCUAAUUUUCAUAUGUUUUUUCGUCUAUAGCAAAUUCUUCUUUAUUCAUCACAAAUUGUGUUUUAAUUUAUGUUCAAUUAGUUGUAUUUGCAUUUGUAACUUAAAUAUUGUUUUUCUUUGUCCUAAUAUAGAUUUUUGACAUACUUCUGCUUCUGCAUAUAUAUUAUAAUUAAGUCUUUCUUGUUUAUGUUUCAACUCGUAGCGUUUUUCUAUAAUUGUUCUAAUUAAUUCUUGUUUGUGUUGUUUUUUGUUCAUAUUAUCCAUAGCUCUGACACCAAUUUUAGGCAUUGAUCCUUUUUUCAUAAUACUCUUUUCUUAAAGGUAUUAAUCUUAUAAUUUCUUUUAUAUUUUCCAGGAUGUAUUCGAUAUAUUGUAUAAUUUAACUUUUUUGGAUUUUUUACUUCCGAUGUACUUGCUUUUGUAUCUUCGUUUAUAUCUCCUGUUCCUAAACAACGCCUCAACUCUGUUUACCCCUCUCACGGCUUCCCUACCUAUGGUUUCAACUUUAGGAUGGUAUAGUUCUGGAAGUUUUUCCUUUUUCCUCAUGUUAGCAAACUAGAAACAUGCUUCAAAUAAUUCUAGUAUAUAAUAACUAAUAUAAACUUAUUUAAUCAUGCUAUGAUAUUCAGGAAUCACUAGAUUUAGCUAUGCAUAAUCAUAAAUAGAUAUACAUGUCUUUCUGUGAUAUCUGGUAUAUUUUGAUCCAUAGCUUAGCUUUGAAACUUGAUAUUUUUAUUGAGUAUUUUUGUUUACAAAGAGGCUUGCUUUCCGUCAAGAAAGUCUUACCUUAGCUAUGCACAAUGGCUUUCUAUUUAUAUUAGUAGAGAUGCUAACAUCUCUAUUCCUAUUUUGCAUCUGUCCACUACAUCUGUCCACUAACUUUACAUCACACUAUUGUUAAUUUACAUCUGUCCACUAAUUUACACGACACUUUUCUGUCAAUAAUUUACAUACUUUAAUAAUUCACUACUACUUUACAAUAAGACAAACAACUUUACUUUACUUUUUUCUUUUUAUCUUGUUGGGUAUCAAUCUUGCUUUUUAUCUUGUCGUUGUUGGCUUUCAUUCUAGUUGGACAUCUGGAAUUACAUCAUCUUCUCCAUAGCAUUUUGAACAUUGGUGAUCUAGGUAUCUGUGUCCAAUUGUCUUGCAAUAUUUUGUCAUUAUCUCUGGCGAAAUGAAAUUCUUUCGUAUUGCUCUUUUAGUUGGCUGUUGUUCUAGUUUUAAUAAGCUUAGUAUUCAUUGUUGUAUUUCUUUCAUAUCUGCUUCUCUAAUUUCUCUGGAAUUUGAAUAUAUCAUAGUUUGUUCUCUUGCAUAAUAGCUCCAUACUGAAUUUCCAUUUAAAUAAUUGGUUGUUAACUCGUUCAGAAUAGUAGCUAUUCCAAUAAUCCGCUUUCUUGCAUAAAAUUCUGGUAUCUCUAUCAUUUGUAUCUCGUCUUGUCGUUCUAUUUUUUUCGGUAUUAUCAUUUCUCUGGUUAAUCCGAUUUUUAUAACUUGUAUGAUAGGUUUAAUUUCAUCAUACAAUAUUUCUGUUGGUGCUGAAUAGAACUUUAUAUAAAAAAAUAUUCCUUUAGUUAUCCUUUUAUAAUGCAUAAAUGCCUUAUGUAACUCUGGUAUUGUUGAUAUUUCAUCUCCUGUUUGGGUAUAUACGGUACUUAAUAAUCCAUAGUUGUAGCAAGUUCCUACUAGAUUAGUAUUUGUUCAUGGUUGUGCAAUUAGCUUAUUAUAACCCUGUAGAUUUCGUGCAAUAUAAUCUUCAUGGGGGUUUUUGGUAUUUUUGGACCUUGGGUUUUGGUUUAGAAAAGUCUGUAUUUUGUGGAUGUUAUCUAUAUAAGCUCUGGUUAUAUGGUUAUAAGUCUUUUUGUUUUGUCAUAGACUUUCUUUAUAUGUAUUUAGCUGGGGUGGUAUGAAUAAUGGAUCUUUUUGGUUUUUGGGUAUAAAUGGUUUUUUGAAUAGUUUAUUCGUAUUGGUAUUAACAUAUCUAGUUUUAUUCUCUUCCUUUGUUGCAGAUGUGCUCCCUGUAGCUGCAUAUAACAAAUCAAUAUGGGUUUUUAGGUGUUUCUCAAAGUCACCUUGUAGCUCUAGAUAUUUAGAGUAUUCUGAUCGACUUAGCUCCACAUUUUUAUAGUCAUGCUGCUGACUUCUUAUUUGUUGUAGCUCUUUGUCUAUGUUUUCUACUUUUGUACAAAGUAUAGUCAUAGCUUUGAGUAUUUCUUCUAUUGUAUUUUCUUUUAUCAGUUUGAGUAGCUUUGUCUUGAGAUGUAAUCUGCAAUAACAUUCUUGUUAGUACAUAUUACUUCUAUAGUAAAUGUAAAAUUCAAUAUAUUUAAUACUAGUCUCCGUAUCUCUUUGAUUGUUACUGAAUCUUGUACCUUUCUUGUUAGCCACCAUUUUACCUGUGUAUUAUCUGUUCUUACAAUAAAUUUGUUAUACACAAUGUAUGGUUCAAAGGCUAAUAAGCAUUUGUAUAUUGAAUAUAAUUCUUUUCUGUUUAUUUCCCAUUUUAUUUCGAGGUUUGAAAAUGUUCCUGAAUAAUAUCUGCAAUAGUGUUCUACCUUCUCUUUAUCAUAUCUAUAUUUUAAUACUCCUCUGUAGCUUAUUUCAGUUGCAUCUGAUUCUACUAUAUAGAUGAAUUUUUUAUUUUCAUCUGGAAAGUAUAGUUUAGGUAACUUUUUGCAUAAUGAUUUUACUUUUCGUAUUUGUUCUUGGUCUUUAUUGUCAAAAUGAUAUUCGACAUCUUUUUUUAAUUUUUUGUGCAAUGGUUUUAAAUUUUCUAUUAAAUUUGGUAUGUAUUCUCUUAUUUGAUUUACUAAUCCUAAAAACGAUUGUAAUUUCUUUUUCGUAUCUAUUUGUUCUUCAGAAUUUAUUAUUUUUUGUACUAUGUGUGUUUGCAUUUUAAUACCAUUUUUAUCUAUUUGUAUUCCUAGGAAUUCUAUCUGGUUUUUCAUUAUUUCUGCCUUUUUCUUAGUUAGGCUUAUCCCUGAGUAUGUUAUAAUAUGUAUGAAUUUUUCUAGUAAUCUUAUAUGCUCAUCUUGAGUUUUUCAGUAUAAUAAUAUAUCAUCUAUGUAUAUUAUACAAUUUUCUAGUUGGUUAAAGUAAUUGUCCAUAAAAUGUUGGUAUCUUCCUGGUACAUUUUUAUAUCCAAAUGGUAAUACAUUGCAUUCAUAAAACCCUUGUGGUACUGUGAAAGUUGUUAAUUUUUUAGAUUCUUCUUCUAAUUUGAGGUGGUAAAAUCCUGACUUACAAUCAAAUUUACUGAAGUAAUUGUAUCCUUGGAUUUGUCUUAUUACAUUUUUAUAUCCAAAUGGUAAUACAUUGCAUUCAUAAAACCCUUGUGGUACUGUGAAAGUUGUUAAUUUUUUAGAUUCUUCUUCUAAUUUGAGGUGGUAAAAUCCUGACUUACAAUCAAAUUUACUGAAGUAAUUGUAUCCUUGGAUUUGUCUUAUUUUUAAUAUUUUAUGUGGUAUUGGGUAGUUAUAUGUUUUUGUUUUUGCAUUUAGAUUUCUAUAAUCAAUAACCAUUCGACUUUUUCCUCGUUUUUGUUCACUAUGUUUAUUUACUAUAAAUGUUGGGCUUGUAUGUUUACUAUUACUUUCCUGUAUAUAUUUAUUUCCUAAUAGUUCCUUUAUAUACAUUUUAAAUUUUGUUAGAUCACUAAAAUUAUAUUUUAAUGAUUUUUGGGUUAUUAUAAUAUUAUCAUCAAUUAGUUCGAUUUUUAUUUUUGUUUUAUGUUUUUCCCAACCUUUUAAGGGGUCCUCACUGUAUAAUAGUUCUAGCUUUUCUUUAAUCAUUUUUAAUUUAUCUAUUGAAAAUAUAAUUAAUUUUAUCUUAUGGUCACUUUCGAUAAAGUUUUCUAGUUUUUGAGUAAUUUUUUCACUUCCUCUUAUCCAUGGUGUGGUUUUCCUAUUUUUGUUGUUUACUCUUUUUGCCCCUAUCUUUUGUUUACAUGGUGUAGUAAACCACCAGUGUGUUUUUGUUAUUAUAUGUGGAUAUAAUUUUUCUAAGAAUGGCAUUCCUAAAAGCAUAUCUUUGUUUGUAAAUUCAUAACUAUAUAUGUCCUCUACAGUUAGUAUUUUAUCCCAUAUCUGUAAUUUUAUAUUCUUUGCUUUACAUGUUAUCAUACUUCCUUCAUUAUUGAAUCAUGUUACUAUUGGUGUUUUUAAUUUUUCCCAUCUUUCCUCUGGUAAACAAUUGUAUUUACACAUGUUGGCUUUUGCUCCUGUGUCUAUCAUUGGGGGGUAUAAUUUCACGACCCGAUUUCUCGAGUCAUGAUGACACCUACUAUACCCUACCAGUAGGUAAGCCUACUUGUAACCCAGAACAUCAAACAAUGAGCGAAAGGGCAGAAAUUAGCGAAAACAACAAUCUAAACAAGAAUCACAACUACGGUGUAUAAGAAACACAAUUAGAAACAUAUACAUAGUCAAUACAAUCUAGUUUUAGUAUGACAUGAAAGAAACACUUCAUGAGCAACAUCAAGGCAAGCUUGUGUAAUGCAUAGGUAAGACCCCAUAAUACCACCCAUACUAACAAAGUCACUUUAGAUCCCCAUUCAUGUUUACCAUCUCUUAAUCUCACCUUUAGCCUAUUUCUCAUAGACAAGGAACAUUCACCUUUAGUCAAAUACAUCAAGGAAAUCAACCCAUGGCAACAAUGAAAGUUAGCAUACAACAUUACAAGUAGCCUUACUAUCUAAUGAAAAUGCCAUCUAAUGACAAGCAAAUUCACUACAUGAAUAACCAUGACAUAAGAGGAACCUACCAUAACUACUCUCAAGGCCUACUUGUGCAAUGCAUGGAUGAAGUUCCAUACCCCCACCCACACUAACUAGUACACAUAGACCAUGAGAGCUUAUUCAUGGAAUUCGGUGUCUACCCCACACCGAACAACGGUGUCCUACUUGCCUAAGGUAGAACUUAGACUAUUAGCUUGGAAAUGAAUCCAAUGGAUAAAUAACCUACGAGGGCACAUAGUUAUGGGAUAAGGGGAUUGCUACUAAAGAACCCAACCACUACUAACGCAAGGGUUUCCAUCCCAAGAUAUUGUUCCUAGAAACCUGGCCUCUACUAUCGUUAGGGCAUCUAUCUCAUAUCAAUAUCCACUCUGUGCUAACCAUAACUUCCAUUGAGUUUAUACUAAGUCUUGACUUAAAUUACUAAAUAUGGGAGGGUGUCUUGACAUUCAAUCCAAUAAACUCAUUCUAAAGCUCCUAGAUUCAUUAGGGGAGACUAGUCUUCAACCCUUAGAAUCACCACAUGUGACAAACCUUUCACAUUGUAUGGUAUUCAUGUCUAAGUGUGCAAGUUAGGAUAAUCAUCCAAUCCACACAACAAUUAGAUUAUAAUGUAUUCACUUUACUCUCAAAGCAAUCUAAUUGAAUGCACACAAGUCUUAUACACAUAGUUGAUUCUCAUGCUUUACCCUUCAAGCCUAUAGAUCACAUUCAACAAAUCAAUAUAGAAUUACUAUAUUAGAUAUAGAUGGUGACAUGAUUCAAUUAACUAAGCUACUACAAGGAAACCUCAUACUAUUCAAUUCACCACAACUCACCCACAUCACAGUCACAAAUUGGGGACAUGGGUGUUCAUGGGAUCUUUGAGGAAAUUCAACAUCAAAACUAUAGAAAUUCCUUAAUUAAUACAUAACUCAAGUAAUCAACUCAUUAUAUUCAUGAUUCUACAAAAAUACUACUAAUACCAAUCAACACCCACACUCUAAGAUCCAAUUUGAGAAAUUAAGGUAUUUUAUGGAUUCAUGGAAGAUUUUUACCAUAAAACUACCAUGAAACAGAAAUUAAACAUCAAUAUAAGAUAAUUAAAUCAUAAAAAACGUUUUACAAAGAAUCCAUGGCUUGGAUUGAAAACCCUAGGUUUUGGAGACUUUGUCUACUUUGAAAUUGAGAGUUUAAGGACUUCAUGGAUGAAGGACUAACCAUGAAUCAAAACUACCAUACCUUAGAUGAAGAUUCCUCGCGAAUUUGAGUGGAAAAUAUGAGUUCUUGAGCCCUAAACCUUCACUUCUUCUUCUCCAAUGGAGGUUUUUAGUGAAAGAAAUAUUUGGGGAAAAGUUAGUUAUGAACUUGGGGUUUAGGAUUCAAGAAGUAAAAUAGGUUAGUUAAUGGUCCAAAAUUAUUUAUAUAAGUCUAUUAAAAUGAUAUAAAGCGUCCCCAAGCUAAAAUAUUUAAAUUAGGAAUUUCCUAAAAUAAACUCACUUUGGCCGAGUUUGAGGCAGCCUACUGGCACGACCUACGACAUGCCCCCGACGGACCGUGGAUGGGUCAACGGGGCAUGUUGUAGGUUCAUGGUUCAUGGACUGCAGCUCCUCUUCAAGCCCCUUGACCCACGAUCAAGAGCUACGGGACGUGGAUGGACCUACUCCCAAUAGGUCCCAUCCAUAGGUCAAGGAAUUUUGGGCAGCUUGGCAGUUUUGGGGUUAGGCUUUAUGGUCCUCCUCAAGGACCCCUUGGUUAGUCCUUGGGGAGUCGUACCUUGACCUUUAACCCCUAAACACCUCGUCCUAGGUACGGGAAGCCAUUUUACAACCUUAACCCACACAUCAAACUCAAAAACCCUCACGUAAGGCUCUAGUUUCACCUACUAGUUUUUCAGAUGUUACACUACUCUAACAUGUUUUACGUAUACAGUUAGUAUUAGUUGCUUUUCGUCUAAACGAAAUGAUUGAUGCACCAAAAGUUAGGAAAUAUAUAUCCUCUUCAUGACAUCAAAUUGUAUUGGUUCCCUUGUUUUAUCUUUAAAUCAAUUUUCCAGAACAUGAUGCGUAGUCUUACUUCUUUAUUUGUUUAAAUUGGCUAAUGUAUCUAGGAACUCAAUAAUUUGUGGAUUUUUAUUGGUUACACAAAAAAUUUCUUCAACUAGAAGUAGUUUUGAUCAUGAAUCUGGUGCUACAGAGAAGUGUUCUCGUGCACCGUUUAUUUAUAUUUGUACGAAGAGACAGAUGAGUGUUGAAAGUGUUGCACAUCACUUUCCUCUUGUUUUCUUUUCAUUUUUAUAAUUGGAAAAAUUAACUCUUACUAGAGUUAUUAUAUUCCCUGUUAUUUCCAUCAAAUAAACCCAACAAAAUCAGGUAAUGUUGAGGUUGGUAUCAGAUACAAAGUAGUUCUUAACUUCUUGUUUCAUGUUAUGUACUUGUGUUAAAUCAUAAGACAAACAACCUGCAAGUAAAAUCAAAAUUCAAGAUAACAUCAUGUUGAAAAAGUAAGAAGCAAAACUGAGGUUUAACUUGCUAAACAGAGUCUUUUAGGGUCGAAAAAACUCCUUUGGAUCUAAGUUCAACUCUAAUAGAUAUCGUUUAACUUCAUAUAUAGAUCAUCUAUCUUUUCCUUUACACGUUAUGGGUUUGAAGGUUUUGGAUGCUGUUAGGGAUUUAUAAGGGAUUGAUGAAAGAAAAAAAAUUACGUUGUAACAAUUAUAUAAGCUUUUCUUAGUUAUUUGUUUCAUAUUAGGCUCCCCUUUUAUGAGGGUCGAAGUUAGCCAGUAUUUAGCCACUAGUUUAAAGAAUCAUGCUACAUUAGUCAUUUAUUCCUUCAUUCAGGAACAAGUGGCCCUUAAGAAAGGAAAUUAACCAAUUCAAAGACUCUUGUUGAACUAGGAUAGGAGCCUAAAUAUCCAAGCUUCCCUCUGUUCCUUGGAGUUGCAGAUUAAAUUAUGGCAGAAGGUCUAUUCUUUGAUUGAUUGAAUGAAUGCAGGUGACCUAUUUUGGCAGAAGUAGCAAUAAUAAAUGUCAUGGAGGGAAAACACAAUAAUGAAAAAGAAAUAGAGACAUGGAACAAUUACUCUCUACUUAAGAAGAAUCGAACACUAUCCUCCGCUUUAGUUGUCUUAGUUGGAGCUAAGGUCUCCUACAUUGAAAGUUAGGCUUAUGAGUAAGAACAAUCACAAAUACUAAACCUUUUCCAAAUAAUUAAAAGAAUUUCAUAUAGCUUUGCACAAUAAUUUCAUCAUAGACCAAAGAAAAUUCUCUACUAACCUGUUAACUAGUUCAAUAUAUUAAUUAGUGGAAGAUGGUGGUGAUGAAGGCUGACAAAACACUACAGUUGCAAGCUGUUCAUAUUUUUUCUCAAGCUCAUCCACGCAUUGACAUUUAUUCUCUAACUCAUCCAUGCAUUUCACUUACAUUCAACUUAUAUAGAAAUGCAGCCUUUGAAGAGUUACCACCAUUUCAACACCUUCGAUGUUACCCCCCCACAAAUCCAACCACAUUACUUUUACAUUGAGGUCCAAAGCACUUCUCAACGACCUCAAUAUUUGUAAGAGAUGAAUUAAGAUUGAAUCACUUUCUAGAUCUCAACCUAUAAAACACAAGACAUAUUAAAAUAAUAAAGCACAUAAACUUUAAUGGUGUAGCAUGAAAUUUAUGAGUAAACAUACUUAUUUUGCAUUUGUUUCAGGUUCGACAAGCUUGUUAUCCUUCUUACGUGUCUCAAAGAAGAUAGUAUCCAUUUUUGGUGGCUUACCAUCUUUUCCUUCCUUCACAUAUAAAUAUAGUGGUAAAAGAAAUCAAAUUAACAGAGAAGAGGCUUUCUAAAAAGCUUCUUGCUUUACUUACUAAUUCAUAAAUAAUCUCUCUAAUAGGCUUACUACUAGUGCGAUGAGGCAUACACAACUUAAGAAUUAUUGACUGAGUUUCUUGUACUUAUUUCCUAUAUCAACAAACCACCAUUGAAAUUAUGGUCAUCCAAUUAAAAUAACUUGCUAAUAGAUCAUAGGUAUGAAUUAAUACCUUUGACUAUUCACUUAAGAAAAGCUCUCUAACAAGUCAUUCCCAAUCACCCUUGUCUACAUCUUUUGACACAUCUUUUAGAGUAUCACAUAAUGUGUUAGACUUCACAUUCUUGUGGAGUGAUCCUCUCCAAUUAUUUAACAACCUUCACACUUGUUGCAAGAAAUGUUCUUUUUUAUCAUUCUUGCGUCACCGACAAAUUUAUCCUACAAUAUUACAGAAGUCUCAUUUUCAUAUUUUCAAGAAAGAUGCAAUACUAGAUUCAAGAAGGUUUUAUAAGAAUUAACAAUGUAAAAUCAUGACCCAUAUUUCAAGGAUGAAAUAACAUAUACAAGGAGGAAAUAACAUAAACAUAUUUCUUAUGAGCAUGUAAUGAAGGUGUUAAAGCCUAGUACCAGCAUCGGUGCACCAUAAAGGCCUAUACUAGCAAGUAUCAGUAAGUUGCCUAUUUAAGUUCUAUUAGAACAAAUCCAGUAAACAAGGCCCUGCUCCAAAGUUUCAUGGGUUCUAGCUACAGUGAUCGCUAAGUACAUCGUAUUCACUUGAUCUUAGAUGUUUCUUAGUUUAUUUAGUAUGGUAGAUAACUGUUUGACUUUGUAGCUGGUGCUUGUAAAGAUACUAGUUUCUUGGUUUUAAUAUAAAAAAUGCUAGUUAUCAGAAUAAAGUAACAUCAACACUAACUAUGAGAGAGUGGUAUAUAUACUAAUUGGGUCUAUUAUCUAUCUACCAAUGGAUCAUAAAUGUGAGUUGCAGCCACAAUCAAUUGAUGCGUAGGCUGUUGCAACUAAAUGUAGUAGGCUUGGUAUGGUACUUACUCAUCUAGCCUAGACACAAAUUUAUUGUCUGGCAAGCAACUGGCUAAUCAAGAGAAAUUGCUAACAAAAGAGAGGAAGAUUUGACUACAAAUACAAUUAGAAGAUGACAAGUGUUGUAUAUAUAAAGAUAACAAGCUGGAAACUCGAUUAGAUCUAUUAUCAAAAUGUACUCACUACUCAGCUUGCCGGAGAGUGUAGGAGUUGUCCAGAUCAACGAUCGAUCUCCUGGCAGCCUCAUUUGGGGGGACAAAGUAGUUGGUAAUAUUCUAUGAAGGCAACAAACGAUUCACUAUGUACUGAAAAUGAAAUGCUAUUUGUAAAAAAACAACACUCAAGACAGAACUAGCAAAUUGGAGUACAAAAGAUGAAGGUAACAAAAAGCUUAAUAUGGAUAAAGGGAAGGCGCUCGAAAAAUAUGAAAAAGAAUUAGUUACGGCUAUAUGGGGAGAUAGAAUCUACCACACUUGGAGAGAAACAAAUUGAAAAAUAUUCAGAGAGACAGCUAAAAAUACAGAUAUUACAUUUGUACAAAUAAUAAAGAGAUAGCUAAAAGAGUGGAUUUCUUGAAACACAAUAGGAAAGUUAAUAGAUGUAGAUACCUGGUCGAAGAAAUUUGUAACUAGGUGAUACAAAUUUACUUUAUGUGCAGAACAAAAUAGUCCAUAUCAGCAUCAUCCAGCUUAAAAAAUUAAAGAAAAUAAUGUUGUAAAUCCUUACCAUAACAACAUUCCACAUGUAUUCUAGCCUAUCGAUCUUUUAUUACGUACCCUCAAUGGACACAUAUGUUUUCACACUAAUGAGACUUGUAGGAUUCAGACAUUUAUAGGAAGUUUUUUGUCCUUUCUCACCUAAAAUACAAUGGAACUUCAGGACAAAAAAAAUCUUUGCUUAGAGACUUUUUAGAAGCUACACUCAAAUAGCUCACCCUUACUAAAGGAAGAAUGCCCUGAUCAGUUUCACACUGGGAGAAGGAUGGUACCGAUCAGAGAAAGUAGUGCUAAGUAUAUUCUACGCAAAGUUGGGCCUGAGAAGAUUUUAAAUUUUUUGAAUAACUAGACUAGUAAAGUGCAGUUGGCUAGCACCAUCAAUAGUCCCCCUAAAGGAAGAACCCAAGAGUGACUAAUUUUAUUCAUAAUGUAUAUUGGAAAGUGAACAUGUUUAAAGUUGUUUUCCCUUAACAAGUAGUUCAGAAAAUUAUGAGCAUCCAAAUUUAUGAUGAAUAAAAGAUCUACGAAUUCGGUCCAUCCACUAUAGUGGAAAAUUCACCUGUCACAAUACUUCAGAGUCUGCUAUGAGAUAGAGAAACAACCAAUGCAUUACUUCAAACAUGAUCUGGCAUCGUAAAAUGAAAUAUCACUUUCAAGAUAUCAUUUUUUGAUUAUGAGACUAUCGAGAAUUAGACUGCCAAUUGACAGUUCCCUCUAAAAAUUCAAAGUUCUUGGCCACUCUAGGUGUUGUUGGUGCAAACAGUAUUUCGAUGAAAGUAUGGAACACAAGUUUUAUAACAAUGGCUUGGUUAAAUACGUACAAACCUUUAGCAACACGAACAUAAUUAAGGAUAUGACUAAACUACAGUAGUGCACAAAGCAAAAUAACAUUAAGUUAAAAUAAAAGGAAAAAAAACCUAACGGAUACUCAAAAAUUAGGGAAAAUAAAAAAUUUGAAAAAUUUAGACAUUCCACAAAGCAAUUGAGAGUAAAAAUAAUACAAACUUACCUUGAAGAGAAGAAAACGCAAGUGUUGAGAAAACUAAUAAGCCCAUAAGCAGUAAGAAGAGAAGAUUGGUUCUCUUUAAGGAAUAAUAGAAUGUGUACUACAAUUAAAAUAGAGAGAUCUUGUUGCCUACUUAAAUAGAAGGAACUAAGAGACCUUCGGCCUAAUUUCUCUUAAUAAACAUUGAAAUUGACGUACCUUAUUCAUUUUGAUCUUAUAUGUUUCUUGAUUGUCCUCUGGCUAAUUUUCUUCCAACAAAUUGACACUCCUAAUUUUAAACUGAGGGAGCCCUAUGGCUAGAUAAAUUUAGGGUUAAUACAGACUUGGGCAGAAUAAAAAAUCCCCAAAUCUCAAAUAGAAUAGGAGAGAAGAAGGUAUUGCAGAUUUUACACAAAUUUCUCUAUUGGUACUGGAGAUAAGUUGUGCUUCAGUUAGGAUUCUCUAAUAGAAUGAUAGAAGAUCAGAAACUUCAUUAGUGAAUCUAUUUUCUUACGGAGAGGAGGAGUGGGGUAUGUGGACUAUUUUUUUAUGGAGAGGAGGGGUGGCGUAUGUCG
RNAcentral lists this long non-coding RNA (22438 nucleotides) under Solanum tuberosum (potato). Its description in RNAcentral is "long non-coding RNA (STUB_LNC002531)". Lineage: Eukaryota; Viridiplantae; Streptophyta; Magnoliopsida; Solanales; Solanaceae. The record is from RNAcentral.